Molecule: long non-coding RNA, 1295 nt
Organism: Paramacrobiotus metropolitanus
Lineage: Eukaryota; Metazoa; Tardigrada; Eutardigrada; Parachela; Macrobiotidae
Exons: 3
Source: RefSeq, a predicted model, not a curated record
CUGCAUAAUAUCGCCUAAUAUAGUCAGUGAACGAUUGUUUUCAUUGUUUUGAAAGCGCUUGACUCGAAGCCAGUCUCAGUAAAACGGGGUUUGAAAAGUCUUUUACUUUUUCCCUAGACAAGGAAAAAAAAUUCUCGUCCUAUCCGGAAAUCUUGACCGAAUCCGUGGUGGUCUUGUGGUUUGCCUGCCAAAUCUGCUUGAAAUUCGGACUGCGUGUUCUUCCUGAAUGGCGUGCUAGUCGAUUAGACUCCGACAACUACAACUAUUUCGAUUCUCUGCUCGAGUUGUCUGGCCUUUUCCCGAAUACAGCGACGAAAGAAGGCACAAGCUUUUCCCAUUCCUGGUUAAACUCAGACUAAAUGACGUGCAGAUACGCUUCCUGCAUGAUCCACUCGUCGAGACGAUCGUCGAUGCGGAACCAGCACUCGUACAGACCGGCGUCCUUCCAUGUGACACUGUGGAUCGUCAUCGUCGAGUUGCACUGACCUUCAUAGGCGCCGUACCCAAAGCUUCCAUAAAAUCCCCACCAAUAACUGGUCUUCUCGGCGACUUCCGGAAUUGAUCUGGCGACAAGUAAGUAAUUUCCAGCGCGCCACAGGAAGCGGGUUUUGAGGUAUCCGGGAAGGAAAUUGAAGCGUACCGCGCAGACCAUCUCCGCUGGGUCGCCGUAGCGGACGGUAAUGUUCUUCAUGGGCGGAUUGAAGACGUUGUGGCGGAAAAGGGUCGCGCUGACCCAGUAGCGCUGCGUCGCCACAUACUCGCUCCCGUUGAAGUACUGGCACUCGUACAGUCCUGUGGCCGCGUACGUAAAAUUCGGCAGCGUGAUGGAAAACGCACCCGUGGUCAGAUUGAUCAUUUCGGCCUGCACCUUAAAGUCCGCCGGAUCGUAGUCUGUCGUCCAGUUGCAACAAUAAUUCACCUCCUGCCCCCGUCCCAUGUUUACCGCAAUGCCCUGAAAAACGGGAACCUGCCAUUCGUUGCGUGCGAACGCCGGCGGAUUCCGAAUGUCGUAAGCCUGUUAGUAAUGCAGACAGUUAAACCAUGCUGUAUUUUUUGCCUCGCAAUCGUUAUUAGGAUAAUUAGGGCUAAGAAAAUCUGAUUCGGAAAACCAAAUUAACACGAACACCUAAAGGGCAUUCAAGAAUUGCUAGAUGUGCCAUAACUAAACCGACGAUGCGAAUCUGACUGUGGAAAGCAAACCAACCUAUUCGCCAGGCAAGCGACAUAACAUAAUAAAAUUGCUCUUUCACUACCAAGCACAACGGACGGUAAACAAAGAGCGCAGAAGAGGGGAC